Molecule: transfer RNA, 64 nt
Filed under: Xyleborus sp. BMNH 1040067
Lineage: Eukaryota; Metazoa; Arthropoda; Insecta; Coleoptera; Curculionidae
Description: tRNA-Thr
Rfam family: tRNA
About the family: Transfer RNA (tRNA) molecules are approximately 80 nucleotides in length. Their secondary structure includes four short double-helical elements and three loops (D, anti-codon, and T loops).
Source: RNAcentral
GUUUUAAUAAUUUAAAUAAAAUAUUGGUCUUGUAAACCAAAAAUAAGAAUCAUCUUUUAAAACA